UACGGGGGGGGCUAGCGUUGUUCGGAAUUACUGGGCGUAAAGGGCGCGUAGGCGGUCUGCUAAGUUGGAUGUGAAAACUCUGGGCUUAACCCAGAGCCUGCAUUCAAUACUGACAGGCUAGAGUUCUGGAGGGGAUAGCGGAAUUCCUGGUGUAGCGGUGGAAUGCGUAGAUAUCAGUCGGAACACCGGUGGCGAAGGCGGCUUCUUGGGCCAUUUCUGACGCUGAGGCGCGAAAGCUAGGGGAGCAAACAGG
This 253-nucleotide ribosomal RNA is filed under the name uncultured bacterium. Its description in RNAcentral is "partial 16S ribosomal RNA". It matches the Rfam family "Bacterial small subunit ribosomal RNA", at positions 524 to 776 of the family's 1533-position model. The record is from RNAcentral.